AACCCUGAUGCAGCGACGCCGCGUGGAGGAAGAAGGUCUUCGGAUUGUAAACUCCUGUUGUUGAGGAAGAUAAUGACGGUACUCAACAAGGAAGUGACGGCUAACUACGUGCCAGCAGCCGCGGUAAAACGUAGGUCACAAGCGUUGUCCGGAAUUACUGGGUGUAAAGGGAGCGCAGGCGGGAAGACAAGUUGGAAGUGAAAUCCAUGGGCUCAACCCAUGAACUGCUUUCAAAACUGUUUUUCUUGAGUAGUGCAGAGGUAGGCGGAAUUCCCGGUGUAGCGGUGGAAUGCGUAGAUAUCGGGAGGAACACCAGUGGCGAAGGCGGCCUACUGGGCACCAACUGACGCUGAGGCUCGAAAGUGUGGGUAGCAAACAGGAUUAGAUACCCUAGUAGUCCU
RNAcentral lists this ribosomal RNA (401 nucleotides) under Klebsiella pneumoniae. RNAcentral's name for it is "bacterial SSU rRNA". It matches the Rfam family "Bacterial small subunit ribosomal RNA", at positions 379 to 797 of the family's 1533-position model. Lineage: Bacteria; Pseudomonadati; Pseudomonadota; Gammaproteobacteria; Enterobacterales; Enterobacteriaceae. The record is from RNAcentral.